GAUGAAGAACGUAGCGAAAUGCGAUACGUAAUGUGAAUUGCAGAAUUCAGUGAAUCAUCGAGUCUUUGAACGCACAUUGCGCCCCCUGGUAUUCCGGGGGGCAUGCCUGUCCGAGCGUCAUUGCUGCCCUCAAGCACGGCUUGUGUGUUGGGCCUCCGUCCACCUCCCGGGGGACGGGCCCGAAAGGCAGCGGCGGCACCGCGUCCGGUCCUCGAGCGUAUGGGGCUUCGUCACCCGCUCUUGUAGGCCCGGCCGGCGCUUGCCGACACAUCAAUCUUUUUUCCAGGUUGACCUCGGAUCAGGUAGGGAUACCCGCUGAACUUAAGCAUAUCAAUAAGCGGAGGA
This 345-nucleotide unclassified non-coding RNA is filed under the name soil metagenome. RNAcentral describes it as "partial contains 5.8S ribosomal RNA, internal transcribed spacer 2, and large subunit ribosomal RNA". The stretch from base 1 to 120 matches the Rfam family "5.8S ribosomal RNA", at positions 35 to 154 of the family's 154-position model. The record is from RNAcentral.